CAGGAGCGUAGCAAUACGCUUGCUGGCGACCGGCAAACGGGUGCGGAACACGUACACAACCUUCCUUUAAGUGGGGGAUAGCCCGGGGAAACCCGGAUUAAUACCCCAUAAAAUAAUGAAGUGGCAUCACUUUAUUAUUAAAGCUCCGGCGCUUAAUGAUGGGUGUGCGGCUGAUUAGGCAGUUGGCGGGGUAACGGCCCACCAAACCUACGAUCAGUAACUGGUGUGAGAGCACGACCAGUCACACGGGCACUGAGACACGGGCCCGACUCCUACGGGAGGCAGCAGUAAGGAAUAUUGGUCAAUGGACGCAAGUCUGAACCAGCCAUGCCGCGUGGAGGAUGAAGGUCCUCUGGAUUGUAAACUUCUUUUAUUUGGGAAGAAAUCCAUCCAUUCCUGGAUGGUUGACGGUACCAGAUGAAUAAGCACCGGCUAACUCCGUGCCAGCAGCCGCGGUAAUACGGAGGGUGCAAGCGUUAUCCGGAAUUCACUGGGUUUAANGGGUGCGUAGGUGGAUUAGUAAGUCAGUGGUGAAAUCUCUGGGCUUAACUCAAAAAACUGGCCAUUGAUACUAUUAGUCUUGAAUACCGUGGAGGUCAGCGGAAUAUGUCAUGUAGCGGUGAAAUGCUUAAAUAUGACAUAGAACACCAUUUGCGAAGGCAGCUGGCUACACAAUAUUGACACUGAGGCCCGAAGCGUGGGGAUCAAACAGGAUUAAAUACCCUGGUAA
This 730-nucleotide ribosomal RNA is filed under the name uncultured Sphingobacteriia bacterium. RNAcentral describes it as "bacterial SSU rRNA". It matches the Rfam family "Bacterial small subunit ribosomal RNA", at positions 70 to 793 of the family's 1533-position model. Lineage: Bacteria; Pseudomonadati; Bacteroidota; Sphingobacteriia. The record is from RNAcentral.